This is a long non-coding RNA of Rosa chinensis, 214 nucleotides long. RefSeq lists it as uncharacterized. The transcript has 3 exons. The record is from RefSeq and is a predicted model, not a curated record. Lineage: Eukaryota; Viridiplantae; Streptophyta; Magnoliopsida; Rosales; Rosaceae.
UUGGGUUUGGGAGGGAUCUUUCAGGAAAAGAAGAGGUGUGGCUUGAUGUGGAAGAAGUGUGUGCCUAGAUUUUGAUUGAGUUUAAGAGACAGGUUUUAGGAGCAAAAGAGAGAUUUGGCUGAGCUUUUGGAGUGAAGUGCAUUGCAACUCACUAUAUGCUACUGCAGAUGUUCCCACAAGAAGUCCUAGAAAGAACUAUUGGUUUUUCUACAGU